RNAcentral lists this ribosomal RNA (450 nucleotides) under uncultured bacterium. RNAcentral's name for it is "bacterial SSU rRNA". It matches the Rfam family "Bacterial small subunit ribosomal RNA", at positions 354 to 796 of the family's 1533-position model. The record is from RNAcentral.
GUGGGGAAUUUUGGACAAUGGGCGCAAGCCUGAUCCAGCAAUGCCGCGUGCAGGAAGAAGGCCUUCGGGUUGUAAACUGCUUUUGUACGGAACGAAACGGCUCUGGUUAAUACCCGGGGCUAAUGACGGUACCGUAAGAAUAAGCACCGGCUAACUACGUGCCAGCAGCCGCGGUAAUACGUAGGGUGCAAGCGUUAAUCGGAAUUACUGGGCGUAAAGCGUGCACAGGCGGUUGUGUAAGACAGGCGUGAAAUCCCCGGGCUCAACCUGGGAAUUGCGCUUGUGACUGCACAGCUGGAGUGCGGCAGAGGGGGAUGGAAUUCCGCGUGUAGCAGUGAAAUGCGUAGAUAUGCGGAGGAACACCGAUGGCGAAGGCAAUCCCCUGGGCCUGCACUGACGCUCAUGCACGAAAGCGUGGGGAGCAAACAGGAUUAGAUACCCUGGUAGUCC